GUAGUCUGCCAUACGCAGGAAGACCCGCUGAACUGAAGCAUCUCAUUAAGCGGAGGAAAAGAAACUAACUAGGAUUCCCUUAGUAAAGGCGAUCGAAAAGGGAACAGCCCAACGUCUUAAUCCCGCAAGGGAAAUGUAGUCGGUUCACCUAUUGCACUGGUCUAAGUCAGAUGGAAUGCUGCGCGAUUCAGAGUAAAAGCCUCGUAUGACCAACCGCAAGCUUACGAUGGACCGGGGAGAGUCGGAUACUUUGAGAGUAGUGUCUUAAGGGGGUGGUAUGUCCCAUCCAAGGCUAAAUAACGUGAGGAGACCGAUAGAUUACAAGUAGUGUGAACGAAAGAUGAAAAGAACUCUAAAACAGAGGGUGAAAAGUUCCUGAACUUGCUUAGGGUUAAGGCUAUUUAUAGUACCCGUCUUGAAACACGGAUUAGGGAGUUUAUCUGUAGUGCGAGUCUUUGCACGUUAACUGUAAAGGCGUAGAGAAAGCAACUGGCGUUUGCAUGGCUACUGAGCAUUACUGAUAGGACCCGAAAGGUGGUGAACUUUGCCUGCACAGGUUGAAGUCAGGGGAAACUCUGAUGGAGGACCGUACGGGUUAUUGAUG
Molecule: non-coding RNA, 604 nt
Organism: Trichomonas vaginalis G3
Lineage: Eukaryota; Parabasalia; Trichomonadida; Trichomonadidae
Source: Rfam